Molecule: long non-coding RNA, 105 nt
Organism: Drosophila navojoa
Lineage: Eukaryota; Metazoa; Arthropoda; Insecta; Diptera; Drosophilidae
Source: RefSeq, a predicted model, not a curated record
CUUAUAUUGAGAUCGUAUUUCGAUUUGCUAUACCUCUUCAGAGCUUUCCAUUCUUAGGUGGAAGACCAAAAACAAAGCUUCAUUUCAUUAAUUUUUCCUUUUGUU